UUAUCGAAUAUUUAAAAUUCGUCGAAUCAACGUUCUUCAAAGGAAGUCACUAAAUAUAUAGCAGAAAAAAAAUCUAAAACUUUUGAUAUCUUAUCACGUGCAUGUGUCACAUGAUAGUAGCAACUACGUCAGCAGAAAGAGAAGAAUUAAUCAGUUCAUGAAAUGCUGAUAUGUGGUAAAAAUGAUAUAGGUUGUCGUUUAUGGAAUAAAAAGUAUUUCUUUCAGGCUUCAAAGACUGUAAAUUUUCAAGGUAUUAAGGUUUUCAUCAUGUCUAACGAAAUUGAAGGAGUGUUUACAUUCUCUUGGGAAAUCGGCUACAUCAAUGAUUUAGUAAAUAGAAGAGAUGAAUACCAGAACGAAAGUCAAAUUGUUGAGGCUGAACAAUUGAAUGGCACAAAAUGGUUUUUAAAAGUGCACCGAUAUCAAUCACCAUUUCCAGGCUGUUUUUCGUGUUCUCUAUGCAGGCUAUAUGAAGACGGAAAAUCUGAAAAUAUAUCAGUAACAUUUAAAUUAGAACUGAUUGAUGGAAGUGGGAAGAUUUUCAAAUCAGUCGUAAAGGAAAAUAUCUGUUUUUCAAAUGGAUAUAGCAGUGGAGUGGACCGUUUUCUAGAUAGAAAAUCCUUGGAUAUGAAAAUGACGCAAUACAUUACGAAUCCGACAUUAACUGUCCGCUGCCACAUAAUUGAAGAAAGCUUCAAAAAACAAGCACUGGCGGAGGAAAUUCCUACUGCAAUCCGUACACAGUGGAAAAUAAAUAUUCGUGGUCAUAAAAAUUGGACGAAGAAAAUAAAAGUUCCAUUUCAUGAAUCUACUCGUAUAGAUAUUAUUAUGCAAGCAUCCGACGAAAGAAUCAACAUAAAAAUUGGAGAAGUGGGUUUGGUACAACCUUAUGAAAUGGAUAUAUCAAUAUUGGAUGAUAAAAAUCGCAAAAUAGAUUGUGAAUUGACAAAAAAAGCCGUCGAAAACCAAAAAUUUGAGACUUGGAUUGAAAAAAGUCAGCUUGUGGACGAAUCACGUUUUCACUUACCGUAUUCGUUCACUCUGGUAUGUACCAUUAUAACUUCAAGUGCAAAUUUGGAUUCAAGCUCUGAGAAUCGGACGCAUGAAGAUUCUUUUCCAUGUUUAAUGGAUUCUCCUUUACCUCUGCAAGACGAUCUCAAAGAAAUGCUAUUGAAUGACAAGCAUAGCGACGUUCAAUUGAAGACACGUGACAAAAUCAUUGCUGCUCACAAAUGUUUGCUGUCAGCCCGAUCUCCCGUGUUCUCUAAAAUGUUUGAUCAAGAUAUGCUGGAAACUCAGACUGGCGUUGUUGAUAUUCCGGAUGUAGAAAGUGAAACUCUGCAAUCAUUUUUAGAGUUUCUGUACACUGACACGAUCACCAACACUGAUUAUGAGAAAUUGUUGAAACUGAUGUUUGUGGCUGAGAAAUAUCAAGUGGAUUACUUGAAAAAACGAUGCUCAGUAAUACUGAUGUCCAAACUGUCUUUGCAGAAUGUCUGUGAAGUGGUUUCUGUUUCUGAUAUGGUCAAUCAACCGAGUUUGAAACUGUGUGCAGUUAAUUUUAUAAAAGAAAACAAAAAGAAGAUUCUAUCCUCACCUGUUUGGUCAGAGUGGGUGGGAAAGAACAUGGAAUUAGCCAAUGAAAUUCUGACGAAAUUGAUUGAUGUUUGAACCGAAACACAAUGCAAAUUUCACUUAAGCUUCAAACACUGUAAAUUUUCAAAGUGUAAAGGUUUUUAUCAUGUCUAACGAAACUGAAGGAGAGUUUAAGUUCACUUUGACAAUCGGCAACCUUGAUCACAUUUUAAAUACAACAGGUGAAUACCAGAAAAAAAGUAAAAUUGUUGAGGCUAAGCAAUUGAAUGGUACAAAAUGGUAUUUAAGAUUGUACCGAUAUCAAUCAUCACCUCCAGGUUGUUUUUCGUGUUUUCUAUGCAGAAUUAAUGACGACGACAAUUCUGAAAAUAUAACUGUAACAUAUAAAUUAGAAUUGAUUGAUAUGUAUGGGAAGAUUUUCAAAUCUGUUGUAAAGGAAAAUAUAACUUUUUCAAGAAGAUCUAGCAGUGAAGUUGACAGUUUUCUAGACAGUAAUUCCCUGAAACAGUAUUGGAAAUUCACCGGAUUCUUGCAUUUAACAUUAAUUUUCCGCUGCCACAUAAUUGACGCAAGCUACAAAAAACAAGCAAUGACGGUGGAAAUUCCGAGUGUGAUCCAUACACAGUGGAAAAUAAAUAUUCCUGGUCCUGAAAAUUGGACCAAGAAAGUAAAAAUUCCAUUUCAUGAAUGUACUCAUAUAGAUAUUAUUGUGCAUGCUUCUGAUGAAGGAAUUAACAUAAAAAUUGAGAAAGUGGAUUUGUUACAACCUCAUAAAAUGAAUAUAUCAAUAUUGGAUGAUGAAAAUCGUAAAAUAGAUUGUGAAUUGCCAAAAAAAGCCUUCGAAAACCAGAAAUUUGAGACUUGGAUUGAAAAAAGUCAUCUUGUGGACGAAUCACGCUUUCACUUACCGUAUUCGUUCACUCUGGUAUGUACCAUUACAACUUCUGGUGAAAAUUCGGAUUCAAACGCUGAGAAUUGGAAGCAAGAUUAUUCUUUUCCAUAUUUAAUGGGUUCUCCAUUACCUCUGCAAGAAGAUCUCAAAGAAAUGCUAUUGAAUGACAAGCAUAGCGACGUUAAAUUGAAGACACGUGACAAAAUCAUAGCUGCUCACAAAUGCUUGCUGUCAGCCCGAUCUCCCGUGUUCUCCAAAAUGUUUGAUCAAGAUAUGCUGGAAACUCAGACUGGCAUUGUUGAUAUUCCAGAUGUAGAAAGUGAUACUCUGCAAUCAUUUUUAGAAUUUCUGUACACUGAUACGAUCACCCACACUGAUUAUGAGAAAUUGUUGAAACUGAUGUUUGUGGCUGAUAGAUAUCAAGUGGAUUACUUGAAAACACGAUGCUCAAUAAUACUGAUGUCCAAAGUGUCGUUGGAGAACGUCUGUGAAGUGGUUUCUGUUUCUGAUAUGGUCAAUCAACCGAGUUUGAAACUGUGUGCAGUUAAUUUUAUAAAGGAAAACAAAAAGAAGAUUAUUUCCUCACCUGUUUGGUUAGAGUGGGUGGAAAAGAACAUGAAAUUAGCCAAUGAAAUUCUGAUGAAGUUGAUUGAUGUUUGAAUAGAAACGCAAUGCAAAUUUCACUAAAAGAAAUAUUCUUGAAAUUAUGCAAAAGAACUGGCUUGGCGCAGAUUGUGAAAUUGGCACUAUUUCUGUAAUAUUGAAAUUUUACUUAUGUAUUUUUCAAACUGUUCGAUGAAAAUAUAUUUGUAUAUUUUUUUGUUGUAUAAUUUGUACUCUUAUGACAGAAUUUAAUUUUGAUCUUUAUUUUUUUAUGCUUACUUCGAAAUAUUAAGGAACGAAGUUAUCUUAUUGUGGAGCUAAUUUAAAGUUAUAUUUCUUACCUCUUUCACUUACA
Molecule: unclassified non-coding RNA, 3446 nt
Organism: Parasteatoda tepidariorum (common house spider)
Lineage: Eukaryota; Metazoa; Arthropoda; Arachnida; Araneae; Theridiidae
Source: RefSeq, a predicted model, not a curated record